ACGGGGUGCAGCAGGCGCGAAAACUUGUCAAUGCACGAAAGUGUGAACGGGCUACCCCGAGUGCCGUCCGCCGAGGAUGGCUUUUCUCUGCUGUAAGAAGGCGGAGGAAUAAGGAGAGGGCAAGUCUGGUGUCAGCCGCCGCGGUAAUACCAGCUCUCCGAGUGGUAGGGAUGAUUAUUGGGCCUAAAGCGUUCGUAGCCGGCCUUCCAAGUCUUUCGUUAAAUCCAGCGAUUCAAUCGUUGGACUGCGGGAGAUACUGUUAGGCUAGGGGGCGGGAGAAGCCGACGGUAUUCUUGGGGUAGGGGUAAAAUCCUAUAAUCCCAGGAAGACCACCAGUGGCGUAGGCGGUCGGCUAGCACGCGCUCGACGGUGAGGGACGAAAGCUGGGGGAGCAAACCGGAUUAGAUACCCGGGUAGUCCCAGCUGUAAACGAUGCGGGCUAGGUGUUGAAGCGGCUACGAGCCGCUUCAGUGCCGCAGGGAAGCCAUUAAGCCCGCCGCCUGGGGAGUACGGCCGCAAGGCUGAAACUUAAAGGAAUUGGCGGGGGAGCAC
Molecule: ribosomal RNA, 552 nt
Filed under: uncultured archaeon
Lineage: Archaea
Description: bacterial SSU rRNA
Rfam family: Archaeal small subunit ribosomal RNA
Source: RNAcentral